UACGGGGGGGGCAAGCGUUGUUCGGAAUUACUGGGCGUAAAGGGCGCGCCGGCGGCCCGGCCAGUCCCUUGUGAAAUCCCACGGCUCAACUGUGGAACUGCAGGGGAUACUGCCAGGCUUGAGUCCGGGAGAGGGGAGUGGAAUUCCCAGUGUAGCGGUGAAAUGCGUAGAUAUUGGGAGGAACACCGGUGGCGAAGGCGGCUCCCUGGACCGGUACUGACGCUGAGGCGCGAAAGCUAGGGGAGCAAAUGGG
This 253-nucleotide ribosomal RNA is filed under the name uncultured bacterium. RNAcentral's name for it is "partial 16S ribosomal RNA". It matches the Rfam family "Bacterial small subunit ribosomal RNA", at positions 524 to 776 of the family's 1533-position model. The record is from RNAcentral.